Molecule: non-coding RNA, 488 nt
Organism: Cricetulus griseus (Chinese hamster)
Lineage: Eukaryota; Metazoa; Chordata; Mammalia; Rodentia; Cricetidae
Source: RefSeq, a predicted model, not a curated record
ACCUCCUAAACCCCCUCAAACAACUCCACCAAAUGGUGUUCAAAUACACGAGCCUAUGGGAGACGUACUCCCUCAAAUCACAACACUAAAUUUAAAAAAGUAAUGUGUAUAAUGUAGAAAUGCUGUGUUUAGAGGUAAUUGUCAUCUUAGAAAAUAAUGUGUAAGAACUGGCUUCAUCUAAAUGGGGUUUGAAACUUGUAAUUUCAUAAUCUGUCAAUACAUUCUCAGUGUUGGUAAGAUAAUCCUGGCAAUACAUACACACCCUGUAUGAUGACCUGUUUCUAAAAUGGGAAGUAACAGAUUUGUUCUUUACGGAUUUCAUCAAGGCUGACAUCAAGGGACAGACUUUAUCUCCCAGGACUUAAGGCACAAAGAACAAAUGACAGAACAGCUCCAAGUAUCAGCCCAGCAUUUGUCCUCAGGCCUAAGAGCAUCCUCCAACGUUAUUUGCAGUACAGGUCUGUCGUGAAUAAAUCUGUUAGAUUUCA